This is a long non-coding RNA of Betta splendens (Siamese fighting fish), 1555 nucleotides long. The record is from Ensembl. Lineage: Eukaryota; Metazoa; Chordata; Actinopteri; Anabantiformes; Osphronemidae.
AUUUGAGCUAAAAAAAUAUUUUUUCAAUAAACCACAAUAAGCUUAAGUCAGAAUAUCAGAUUAUAGAAAUCCAUAAGACAUAAUUAUGAAUGUAAUGGCUGAUAGAUAGUUGUUAACCAGUGCAUGUGAAACAUCACAUUACACCAAACCUUGGAAACAGGACAAACAAACGUCAUGAAACCAGAUGCACCUGGCGGCUGAUGACGUCACUAAUCAUACACUGAGGUCAGGUGUGCGAUGUGUCUGACAGUAAUGUUUGACUAUAAGAUGAGCAGUUGUGGUCAGAAUGCCAGUGAAUAUAAUAGACUGAGGGGUGUGUUCCUGUCGUUCAUAUUUUCAUGGAACGUUGUGAUUUCGGUCUGUGGUGAUGGGCUUCACUCUAUGAAUCUGAGACACAAGCAGGAGGGGGUUGAUAUUAGUGAAAUACACCAAAUCAAGCAGAUCAAACAUGUGCAGAGUGGACCAGCAGCACAAAGACAUAAUGUCCCUCAGCCAGAGGCAACGGGAAGGUGGAGCGGUGUCCUUCUGUUGGAGGAAGAUAAGUCAGGCAGCUAAUACAGAGGCAAAGACAACUGCUCCUUCCCCUACGUCUGAACAGAUGUGCUUCAUUUGGAGCCGGGCCAAAGGCGGCGCACAGCGGCCUCUCUGCGCCGGAUGCGACUGCAAACACGCGUCCGAUAAGGCCCAGGAAAACAACGGUCCGGCGCUCGGCUGAACCGAGGCGGAACAAGUGCUUGUAAAUGAUUGAGGCACGGACACACACACACGAGGGGCGCGCCGCUGGGAACGCCGCCGCUCCGGUUCAGCGGAUAGAAAUAGAUGUGCAACGCUGACCUGCACCAGUUCACGGCCGGCGCACAGGCGGCCUCCACCACCGAGGCACUGGAUGCAGAUGCACAACGGCCAACAGAUACACACAAUAACAUCUGUGGUCAAUUUGGGGAUUUGGUAGUUUCUGAUUUUGGGCCACGGGGUCAAAAAAACAACUUCAUGUCUUUUCUGAAUUUCAAUUGAAUGACUAUAUGAUAUUCGGCUUGUAAGUAUUUUUAAGGAGGCACUGCUACAUUCAACGCAGUUGCAUGCAAAUGGUGAUUACUGCAGUAUGUGUGGGUGUUAUAUUGUGUUUUCAAACGGAGACGGGUCAAAGGUUCUGUCUCGUCCGCUGAGUUUUGUAGGUGAUGAUUGAUGAUGCACGUGAUUCAGAUCAGAGCAGUGAAGAGCUGUUGCCAGAAAGCUGAACCUGUUACUUGUAUUUCUUUUAGAAAAAAAUCUGAUGCUGUUUUAUAUAUUUUUUUUUUAAACUACAGUCCAAAAAUACCAAAACAAGGUCUCUUGUCUUCUGUGCUGUCACUGCACUCUGUGAAGUCUGGCACUCAGCUGCUAGCUUGUUUGCGCUCGCUGAAGACAUAAAUGUUUGAAAUGAAUCAAAAAAUAUUUUAAUUUAUUUAAAAAUUAAUCAAUAAUUAACCAAACAGAUGGGCACUGUAGUUUUUAGCAUAUGUUAUCUAACUAGGAAUAACCAGAGCUUUGUUGGGGGCUGUUUGCAUUCGCGUGU